This 754-nucleotide ribosomal RNA is filed under the name Staphylococcus sp. RNAcentral's name for it is "bacterial SSU rRNA". It matches the Rfam family "Bacterial small subunit ribosomal RNA", at positions 42 to 778 of the family's 1533-position model. Lineage: Bacteria; Bacillati; Bacillota; Bacilli; Caryophanales; Staphylococcaceae. The record is from RNAcentral.
GCGUGCCUAAUUCAUGCAAGUCGAGCGAACAGAUAAGGAGCUUGCUCCUUUGACGUUAGCGGCGGACGGGUGAGUAACACGUGGGUAACCUACCUAUAAGACUGGAAUAACUCCGGGAAACCGGGGCUAAUGCCGGAUAACAUUUAGAACCGCAUGGUUCUAAAGUGAAAGAUGGUUUUGCUAUCACUUAUAGAUGGACCCGCGCCGUAUUAGCUAGUUGGUAAGGUAAUGGCUUACCAAGGCAACGAUACGUAGCCGACCUGAGAGGGUGAUCGGCCACACUGGAACUGAGACACGGUCCAGACUCCUACGGGAGGCAGCAGUAGGGAAUCUUCCGCAAUGGGCGAAAGCCUGACGGAGCAACGCCGCGUGAGUGAUGAAGGGUUUCGGCUCGUAAAACUCUGUUAUUAGGGAAGAACAAACGUGUAAGUAACUGUGCACGUCUUGACGGUACCUAAUCAGAAAGCCACGGCUAACUACGUGCCAGCAGCCGCGGUAAUACGUAGGUGGCAAGCGUUAUCCGGAAUUAUUGGGCGUAAAGCGCGCGUAGGCGGUUUCUUAAGUCUGAUGUGAAAGCCCACGGCUCAACCGUGGAGGGUCAUUGGAAACUGGGAGACUUGAGUGCAGAAGAGGAAAGUGGAAUUCCAUGUGUAGCGGUGAAAUGCGCAGAGAUAUGGAGGAACACCAGUGGCGAAGGCGACUUUCUGGUCUGUAACUGACGCUGAUGUGCGAAAGCGUGGGGAUCAAACAGGAU